Molecule: ribosomal RNA, 307 nt
Filed under: Inermocoelotes falciger
Lineage: Eukaryota; Metazoa; Arthropoda; Arachnida; Araneae; Agelenidae
Description: partial 12S ribosomal RNA
Source: RNAcentral
AAACUANUUUAAUUUGGCGGCAUUUCAUCUAUUUAGAGGAAUUUGUUUUUUAAUCGAUAAUCCACGUUAAAUUUCACUUUAAUUAAAAAUUUAUAUACCGCCAUCUUAAGAAUUAAUCAAAAAAUAUUUUUCAAAAUAAAUUAUAAUAAGUUAGGUCAAGGUAUAAUCUACAUUAAAGAAAUAAAUGAAUUACAUUAAAUAAAAUUUAAAGACUAUUAAUAAUUAUAUAAAUACAAAUACGAAUUUAAAAGUAAUAUAUAAAUAAUAAUAAUAUAUGAUAAAGAUAAUAAAUGUGCACACAUCGCCC